Non-coding RNA from Myotis lucifugus (little brown bat), 75 nucleotides. NCBI's taxonomy places the organism in Eukaryota, Metazoa, Chordata, Mammalia, Chiroptera, Vespertilionidae. The record is from Rfam.
GAGACACCCCUCCGGGCAAGACUUGCCUCAGUGGGGCUUUGGUGCUCACUGAGUCUGCCCCCUGAGUGUGUCCCU